Molecule: non-coding RNA, 1971 nt
Organism: Prunus avium (sweet cherry)
Lineage: Eukaryota; Viridiplantae; Streptophyta; Magnoliopsida; Rosales; Rosaceae
Source: RefSeq, a predicted model, not a curated record
UUUGCUUUUCUCAUUGCCAUAACUACUGUGCAGGGGUAUAGAUCUUACAAAUUCUUUUCAUGAUUUCUUGUUGUCUUUCUUGUCUUGUUCUUCUCUGAGCUUUCAUUUCGUCAUCUGGGCCAGGAUUCUUCUAAAUGACAGUUAUAAUCUGGGAAAAAGAUUGGACUGUUGAUAGAACAUUCUGUUUAGGUAACUUCGGUCGUUUCGUCAAUUGUGCACGAUUGGCCGUGUGGGGAGGGAGCAUCACCUUGUUUGAUCAUGGUCUCCACUUUCCUUCUCAAGUUCCUGCACUUGUUAGUUGUUUGAUGGAUGUUAAGGAACAAUGCUUACUUGUAUCUUGCCGCUCUUGUGGCUUCCUCAUAGGUGGUGAUACUCAAAAUAAUAUCCAAAUUGUGUUCACAUGUACAAUUUUGCCAAGCACAUGGUCUGACGGAUCUCAGUAUAGGUUUGUUUUGGCUACUUGAUCUUUCUGCUUUGUCUUUUGGUUUGCGCAUGAGGAUUGUGAAACCACUUCCCUGUUGAUCUUACUCAUUGCUUGGCUCUUCCCUCCUUAAGUCUUGUACAGCCGUCGGUUCUUGUGGUGACUUUGACCAUGCCCUUGGGGGUCUCUUGAGUAGUGACUCCUGCACACUUUGUCCUGGCCUAAGUGCUGAUCCAACCCAUGUCUAGUGUACAGCUAUCACAUUUUCCUACCUAGGACAUUCAAAGACAAAUCAGCUCAGGAAAUCCAUCAGUUUCGUCUUCCCAUUUCAUGUUGGAGUUAGAUGCUUUCUCCAUUUGCUUCUUGUUACGUAUGUACUUGGAGAUGAAUGCCUCCUAGAGUUUGGUAAAAUUUGGGAUGGACCUCAAUGGAAGAUGUCUAAAUUAAAUUUAGUGUUGGUCCAAAUAGAUUUGAGAACACAUUGCACAUCAAUGCAUCCUCAUCAGCUUCAGGCACCAUUUCUAGUGAAAAGGGUAAGCAUGCUCCGACGGAUUUGUCUUACUUUGAAUAUUCAGAACUUAGAAGAAACACAAACAUCUAAAUUUUUUGGGCUUGCAAAACUCCUUGAGGCAAUUCAUCUUCUACUCCAUUUGUAUAAGCUUGAUCUUCCAUUUAGUCUUCUUUCAGCUUAUUGUUGCUUUGAGACCUUGCUCUGAGCCCACAGAAAAUUGUGAAUUUGUCUAGGUCCAAUCAUGUUGUCAUGGAUUUUGAUUAUUCAAAAUGUUUGGUUCCAGCAUUCAGCUUUCCAAGUCAUUCUUGAAGAACUGCUCAAUUUUUUUUAUUUUUUUUUUGUGCUUCUGGGCGAGAAUGGAGGUAUAGAAGACAUUUAUGUUCAAUUUAGGGUUUACACAAAGCGUUUAACGUAUUUUAACCGGCAUAUUUAAUGCAUAAUAGUAGUUCAACUGUGAUAACUUCAUAAAGUCAUUAAGUCAAAUGAUAUCUGGCCUGAAUGAUCCUAUGUUUCUACUAAUAGAUCGGUUUCGGUGGUUGAGCUGGUGUUGCCUUUUCCCUUGAUGCUUCUUGAGUCUUUAGGCCACAUUUCAGGUAGUUUGACUUGGGUGGACAUUCUGUCUGUUAUUUUAUAAUCCAAUUUUUCAGUUUUUUUUUAUUCCGUUGACGUCAUGGAGUUCAGCCUUGUGCCAUUUGAUUUGGCAAUAUUCUUGUUUAUUUGGUUCAGUCCAACUAUUAUGUUUAGUCCAAGUAAUAGGUUCACAUGGAGAAGGAUCUUGAGCAGUAGGUUGACAUGUAGAAGACUAAGCAACAGGUAGAUCCAAAGAAGUAUUUGGAUUCAGGAACUGUACAUGUAUUAUCAUUUUCCUUAAGUUUGGCAAGAUGGAAGGUUGGAUUCUCAACAUUAAAAUAUAACACCAACUCCCAAACUGACAAUAUAUAAACUCUAAUAAGUAUCUCAAUAUUAUAUGCUACAGUGGUGUUCUGAUUGCUCUGAAAUUUGUGCGUUGAUAGUGCUGUUGGUUGAAGUAGAAGUCCAA